This 497-nucleotide ribosomal RNA is filed under the name uncultured bacterium. Its description in RNAcentral is "partial 16S ribosomal RNA". It matches the Rfam family "Bacterial small subunit ribosomal RNA", at positions 28 to 507 of the family's 1533-position model. The record is from RNAcentral.
GAUGAACGCUGGCGGCGUGCCUAAUACAUGCAAGUCGAGCGAACAGACGAGGAGCUUGCUCCUCUGACGUUAGCGGCGGACGGGGGAGUAACACGUGGAUAACCUACCUAUAAGACUGGGAUAACUUCGGGAAACCGGAGCUAAUACCGGAUAAUAUAUUGAACCGCAUGGUUCAAUAGUGAAAGAAGGUUUUGCUGUCACUUAUAGAUGUAUCCGCGCCGCAUUAGCUAGUUGGUAAGGUAACGGCUUACCAAGGCAACGAUGCGUAGCCGACCUGAGAGGGUGAUCGGCCACACUGGAACUGAGACACGGUCCAGACUCCUACGGGAGGCAGCAGUAGGGAAUCUUCCGCAAAGGGCGAAAGCCUGACGGAGCAACGCCGCGUGAGUGAUGAAGGUCUUCGGAUCGUAAAACUCUGUUAUUAGGGAAGAACAAAUGUGUAAGUAACUAUGCACGUCUUGACGGUACCUAAUCAGAAAGCCACGGCUAACUACGUG